Molecule: ribosomal RNA, 273 nt
Filed under: uncultured bacterium
Lineage: Bacteria
Description: partial 16S ribosomal RNA
Rfam family: Bacterial small subunit ribosomal RNA
Source: RNAcentral
UACGGAGGGUCCAAGCGUUAUCCGGAAUCAUUGGGUUUAAAGGGUUCGCAGGCGGUUUAAUAAGUCAGUGGUGAAAUCUCUCGGCUCAACCGAGAAACUGCCAUUGAUACUGUUAGACUUGAAUAUAGUUGGAGUAGGCGGAAUGUGUAGUGUAGCGGUGAAAUGCUUAGAUAUUACACAGAACACCGAUAGCGAAGGCAGCUUACUAAACUAUUAUUGACGCUCAUGAACGAAAGCGUGGGGAGCGAACAGGAUUAGAUACCCGGGUAGUCC